Non-coding RNA from Arachis ipaensis, 3623 nucleotides. Lineage: Eukaryota; Viridiplantae; Streptophyta; Magnoliopsida; Fabales; Fabaceae. The record is from RefSeq and is a predicted model, not a curated record.
GGCGCGUGGCCACACUCACUUAGAUCUUAGAAGAAAGUCAUAAACCUUGACCAAAUCCAAAACUUUCUGCUAACCAAAGUACUAUAAGAUAGUGAGGGACGGAGUUAAAGAGAGUGUGAGUGAAUCAGUAGUGGUGGCUGAAUCAAAAGAAAACUAGGGUGUGUGCCGAUCCAUUUUUGUGGGCAAACACCUUCAAAUUUUUCCCACGCUUUGUUUCAAUCAUAGCUACAUACAAACCCAUUUUUUUCUCACCAGUCAAACAGGACAUGUUCAUCAAAUUGAAUAGAACUGAGGUGAUGUGCUUAUGUUUGUGAUGUAAGGAGCAAACUUCGCGGCUUUGGUGAUCAGGCCUUAGGAUAUUGAUUUUGCCAUCAUGGAGACUAAAAAUGAACUAGAGCCCAAAGAAGGAUUGACAAUAAUGCUUCCUCCACCACCUGGAACUUUCCAAGACCGUGAAGACCUCAUUAAACAUGUGUGUGACUUUGGUGCCAAUGAAAGAUAUGUUGUGACCAUCAAGAAGUCCAGAAAAGAUAGAAGAGUCAUUCUUGGAUGUGACAGGAGAGGUGUCUAUCAUAAUAGGCACAAAAUUGAGGAAAGUAAGCGCAAAAGGAAAGCAACUUCACGCCUUAUAAACUGUCCUUUUGAAGCCAUAGGUAAAAAACAAAAUGACAUGUGGCUACUCACUAUAAAAAAUGGAGAUCACAAUCAUGAACCAUUGAAAGACAUGUCAUAACAUCCUUAUAGUUGACGUUUCACUGAGGAACAAGUCAAACAAAUCAAACUUAUGACUGAAGCUGGUAUAAAACCUCGUCAAGUGCUUAAAACUCUCAAGCAAAGCAAUCUACAACUGCAGUCAACACCACGCCAUUUAUACAACCUCAAAGCAAAGAUUCGUCAGGGAAAGCUAUCAGAUAAAACCUUCAAGUCAUUGAGGUCAAAUAGAUCUAUGUCUGUUGAGGGGAACAACAGUUCAUCUGAUGGUUCAUUAAACCUAAACUACCACCUGGCAACACAAGAAGUUGUAUCUCAAGUUCCUUUGACCACAUAUGAAGAAUUUAAAGCAGCAAUUGUUGCAGCCAAGCAAGCAUUUCCUUCAUGGAAAAACACUCCUAUUACCACUCGUCAACGUAUUAUGUUUAAACUUCAGGAUCUUAUUCACAGAGAUAUUGAUAAGCUUGCCAUGAACAUCACCACAGAACAAGGAAAGACAUUAAAGGGUGCCAGAGGAGAUGUGCUUCAUGGUUUAGAGAUGGUAGAGCAUGCUUGUGGGAUGGCAAAUCUACAAAUGGGAGAAUUUGUUCCUAAUGCUUGUAAUGGAAUUGAUACAUACUGCAUCAGAGAUCCCCUUGGAGUUUGUGCUGGGAUAUGCCCGAUUAACUUUCCUGCAAUGACACCCUUGUGGAUGUUCCCUAUCGCAAUAACAUGUGGCAACACUUUUAUUCUUAAGCCAUGUGAAAAUAAUCCAGGAGCUUCAAUGAUACUUGUAGCAUUAGCAAUGGAAGCUGGUUUGCCCGAUGGUGUUUUAAACGUUGUACAUGGAACUCAUGUAUGUUAUACUAUGCAAGAAGAGAUUGUUAAUUACAUAUGCGAUGAUGAGGAUAUAAAAGCUGUGUCAUUCAAUGGUUCAAUUACAUCAAAUGCAGGUGGCAUAAAUCAUGUAGUUGUUAUGCCAGAUGCUAGCAUGGAUGCUACUUUAGAUGCCCUUGUUUCUGCUGGUUUCCGUGCAGCAGGAGAGAGGUCCAUGGCUUUAAACACAGCUAUCUUUGUGGGAGGUUCAAUGCAAUGGGAAGAUGAAUUGGUGCAGCGUGCCAAAGCACUUAGAGUGAAUGUAGGAACAGAUCCUGAUGCAUACCUAGGUCCAGUUAUUAGCAGAGAGGUAAAAGAUAGGAUAUGUGGACUAGUUCAGAAUGCUGUUGAAAAUGGUGCAAGACUCCUACUUGAUGGGAGGCACAUUAUGGUAUUAAACUUUUCUUUUGGAAGAAAUGAAGUUCAGACCUUACCUGACAGGUGCCUGGAUAUGAGAAUGGAAAUUUUGUUGGCCCUACUAUCUUAUGUGAUGUCACAACCAACAUGGAGUGUUACAAGGAAGAAAUUUUUGGACCAGUUCUUCUUUGCAUGCAGAUAUGGAAAUGGAGCUUCUGUCUUCACCGACUCUGGUAUGGUUGCUAGGAAGUUCCAACAUGAGGUUGAAGCUGUACUGGUUGGGAUCAACGUGCCUGUACCUAUUCCGUUACCAUUUUCCUCUAAUUAUGAGUCAAAAGCAUCUUUUGCCGGCAAUUUCAAUUUUUGUGUUGCAGGAAGAACAGGAGUACAAUUUUGUACCCAAAUAAAAAAAGUGGCAAAAAGAUGGAAGGUGUUCCGUUCAACUUUGGCCGAGGCGUGUAUCUUCAGCGAGGCCGUCUGCUUUAGGAGAGAGUUAUAAGUCGCCUCGAGAAUGUGCUUGGAGUUAACCUCGGCUCUUGCGAAACACGGUGGCGGGAGCACCUGUAAAAAGCACUCCGACGCUCAAGUCAGAAAGAUGAGCAGAGGGUCUACAUUUUUGGGUUUGCUGCGAUAUUCUUGGUGGGAUCCGUUUGUUAGUAACGGGCCGAAAAUAAGGUGGAUGGGUCCCUCAUCUUGAUCCUAAUCGGUUCCAAUCGUUUUUGAAAAAGAAAAAAAGAAGAACGUUUGAGGUUCUGGGAUUUCGAAGGAGGAUGUGGGGCAGGCUGCUCAGUCCAUUGCUCAGCCAGAGUCAUCAUACAAGAGAAAAAGGGGUGAGACUGACAAUUCACUGGAGGUCAUCUCUGAGGCUGAUCAGGAGGUUGUGGGUGGCAUUAAGCCUGUCUUUGAUCGUCAGAGAAAACUUCACGGUUUCGUUCCGGGGACUAGCUCCCAUUCAUUAUGGAGUGACCAGUUUCCUUUUGCUGAGUUGUCUGAUAAGGUGUCCCAGUAUCCAAGCGACAUGCUUAUGACACGUCGGGUUGGCAUGGAGGGUCUUGGGAAGUUUGUUCAGAUUGUUGCAGCCCGUUUGAUGUGUGCUGGUCGUACAGCCGAGCUCAUUGGUGCCGAGCAGCAGGUGGCUGUGGAUAAAGUUGCUGACUUAGAGAAGUCGUACAAAGCUAAGGUUGCUGAACUGGAGAGCUUGUCCAAAGUGAAGGAUGAUGCUCUUGCUACUGCUACAGCCAAAAUGAAGGAAUCCGAGGAGGAGGUAGUCCAUUUAAGGGACCAGGUUCGGCUACUUCAGUCUGAGAUUAAGGAGAGUGAUAUCUCUAAAGGGAAGCUGACUUCAUGAGUUCAUGAGUUGGAAGAAGAGGGAAUGGAGAUGUUCUCUUUGGGAUUUGACCGUGCUGUUAGUCAGAUUGCAUUGUUAGCUCCUGGUUUUGAUUGUGACCAACUUGAUGUCACUAAGGUUGUGAUUGGUGGUAAGUUGGUGGUUGAUGGAACUGCGGAGGAGCAUGGUGAAAAUGCGCCUCCGUCUUGAUGUUGUUAUCUAUGUUUCGGACAUAUUUAUUUUCGUUAUGAUACAGACUUUUUAUUUUGUGCUGACCGGGUUGUGGUCAGCUUUAUUGUGAUGUUGGAUGUUUUGAACUCGUAACUUGUUGAUAUAUGACCGAGGUCAGUUGGAUAGUAUUGCUUUCGCGUUA